GAUGAACGCUAGCUACAGGCUUAACACAUGCAAGUCGAGGGGCAGCAUUUUAGUUUGCUUGCAAACUAAAGAUGGCGACCGGCGCACGGGUGAGUAACACGUAUCCAACCUACCGAUAACUCUGGAAUAGCCUUUCGAAAGAAAGAUUAAUACCGGAUAGUAUACGAAUAUCGCAUGAUAUUUUUAUUAAAGAAUUUCGGUUAUCGAUGGGGAUGCGUUCCAUUAGUUUGUUGGCGGGGUAACGGCCCACCAAGACUACGAUGGAUAGGGGUUCUGAGAGGAAGGUCCCCCACAUUGGAACUGAGACACGGUCCAAACUCCUACGGGAGGCAGCAGUGAGGAAUAUUGGUCAAUGGGCGCAGGCCUGAACCAGCCAAGUAGCGUGAAGGAUGACUGCCCUAUGGGUUGUAAACUUCUUUUAUAUGGGAAUAAAGUUUUCCACGUGUGGAA
This 450-nucleotide ribosomal RNA is filed under the name uncultured bacterium. Its description in RNAcentral is "bacterial SSU rRNA". It matches the Rfam family "Bacterial small subunit ribosomal RNA", at positions 28 to 467 of the family's 1533-position model. The record is from RNAcentral.